This is a small nucleolar RNA of Bubalus bubalis (water buffalo), 123 nucleotides long. RefSeq annotates it as small nucleolar RNA SNORA40. The transcript has a single exon. The record is from RefSeq and is a predicted model, not a curated record. NCBI's taxonomy places the organism in Eukaryota, Metazoa, Chordata, Mammalia, Artiodactyla, Bovidae.
GAUGCCUGUAAAUUAUGUCCCUUUAAGAAUGAUAAGCUACAGACAAGUGCGAAAGUAAAUCCUCUUUUGCAACCCACAACUCAUUGUUCAGUAUGAGUUUUGAUACAGAUAAGAAGGAACAUG